GGCCUCAUUUGGUUUCACAGUUUCCCCCCGGGAUCCCUGCUUAUUCCCCGGGCUGGGAACCCACGAGCCAAGUUGGCCCUGGGUGAUCUACCCGGCCAUUUGGUGGCCCACGAUAUCGGGGAGCCCCGGCCCCUUCCACGUCUUUUCCCUGGGACAAACUUCCACGCCUGGAGUGGCCGGGGAGGAAACCCUCGAUCUCUUGGUCUCGCGAACGAGAGGCGGCGGCGGCGGCAAGAUCCAAGCACGACGCGCCACCACGCUCCGCCCUCCUCCGGCCAAAGCUCCGCCCGACAACUGGAAGCGAAGCACCGCCACGCUCCGGCCUGUACCUCCACGCUCCGUCCCUCCGGCGGGGGCGACGACGACCGGGCUCGUCAUCCCCUUCUUCCCGGAUCUCGUCUCUCCCUCAAAGCAUCACUCAUCUCCGGCGAAGACGACGGCCAUAGAUCAUCCUCCUCUUUCUCAUCAAGAUCAAGGGACCUCCUCUCCUUGUUUGAGGUUUGUACCCUGACCCCAAGUGAGCAGCUGUACUGAAGAACAUCGAAUGCUUUGAAGUGCUCUAUCUAUCCUAACAUCACAAGUGCUCUGACAUUAGAAGUUGGCUUUAUCCGAAGACUUUGUGUUCAAUUGCUUGGUGCCUUUUGAUUCGUCGAUCAUUGAGAAGUUUUCACUCGGAGCAAGAAAGGUAUGUGACGCAGUCAUCCCUUUGACAUGGCCACUGAGCAAGCUUAAAUUAUGCAAAACUACUGCUCUUGUGAUGUUGUUUUUCUCUGCCUAGUAUUGAAAGUGGUCUUAUUUUAGUAUAUGAGAAAACUGAUGCUCUUAAUUAUGUACUUAGAUGUUACAAUAGAAAUGGUAUUAUCUUUGUAUUCACUCCUGAGCUUCCUAGGCUCCUAGCUAUUGGUUCUUUGCAGCCAUAAUAGAGAUGGUAUUAUUAUUGCUUUAUUUAUAAUUAUUAUCGUUGUAUUAAUUUUGUUUUCAUUGGGUAUAAUAGUGAUGGAUUCUAGGAGAAAUAAAAUUAUUAAGAUUAUCUCGCAAGAACAAGAAGAAGACGAUGAACUAUUUUUCUUUUUGGUUCCCGCUUUAUAUGCUUCCCUUUAUGAGGAAAAACAUCCAGUUCACACAUCAUCUUUAUCCGGGGCUGCAAAGGUUAAGGAAAUAUUAGAAGGCCACGAGAGUUGGUCUAGGGUUGAGUUUCGGAUGGAACCUGAGAUUUUCAAGUCUAUCGUGGAUUACCUUAGAAGAGAGAAUCUAUUGAAGGGCACAUCGCGUGUUGCUGUCGAGGAGCAGUUGGCAAUGUUCAUGUACAUGAUUUCGCACAAUGCUAGUAAUCAAGAUCUACAAAAAUACUUCCAACACAGCGCAGAAACAAUUCAUAGGAAGAUAAACAGGAUUUUUGACUUAAUUCCAACUCUAGCCCAAAGAUUUAUAAAGAUUCCAAGUUCACUCCAGCCCCACCCGAAGAUUGUUUCGAACAACCGCUAUUGGCCUUAUUUCCAGAACUGCAUUGGUGCUAUAGAUGGAACACAUAUCCCCAUCACUAUUGCUGAAGAUAAGGCCCCCCAUUUAGGAAUAGGAAAGGAACCCUCUCACAGAAUGUCAUGGUUGCAUGUGAUUUUGAUCUGAAUUUCACAUUUAUUUCAUGUGGGUGGGAAGGGUCCGCAUCAGAUGCAGGAGUUCUUCGUUCUGCUAUUAGCAAGGGGUUUCAUGUGCCAGAUGGAAAAUUUUAUCUCGUAGAUGGUGGAUAUGCAAACACGCCUUCUUUUCUUGCACCAUAUCGAGGAGUUCGGUAUCACCUGAGUGAAUUUAGGAGGCGGCGCUCAUCUAAUACGGGCUAUGCCGACCAUAGGGAGCUGUUCAACCAUACCCAUGCAAUCCUCCGGAACCACAUCGAAAGGAGCAUUGGUGUUCUAAAAAAACGUUUCCCUAUCUUAAAAGUGGGCAAUCACUACCCAAUAGAGUCACAAAUCAAGAUUCCGGCAGCAUGUGCUGUAUUCCAUAACAUCAUUAGAGCUCAAAGUGGUGAUGAGGCAUGGUUGGAUCACCAACCACCGUUAAUUCCACCAGAAACAUAUGUUGAUGUUCCAGAGGGAGAUGAUGUCAACCAACAUCAUCACAAUGAGGCAAACGAUGGAAACACUCUUAGAGAUCAGAUCGCGAUGCAAAUGUGGGCUGAUUAUAACAACUAGUCGGGCAUGAGUUUAUUUUGUAAUUUUUUUCUCACCUUUUCUUAGGUAAAGUAGUGGUAGAGUGAAAUUUAACUAGUACCCCAUUGUUGGUUCAAUAAUGUAGCUAUGGCAGCGCCUAGGGCAUCUUGGGACCAUGCAUACGAGAAAGGUCUUGUUGAUAUAAUGCUUGACCACAACAAUCCCAUUUAUCGAGGUCAAAAUGGGUGGACUGCUGAAGGGUGGACUAGAAUUACAAAUGCAUUCAAUCAGAAAUUUCCACUAGCUCAUUUCACCAAGCAACAAAUCCAAGAGAAGGAUAAGGAUUUAAAAGGAAAUUAUAAGGCAGUGAGAAACUCUCGGAAACAGAGUGGCACGGGAUGGGAUGAUACACUUUGCAUGAUCAUCGCUGAACCUGUAAUAUGGGAUAAACUUAUCAAGGAUAAUCUAAGGGUAAAGAAGUUCCGUUCAAAACCAUUCAUGCUCUUCAAGUCAUUGGCUACACUACAUGAAGGAAGUAUUGCUUCAGGAGACUUGAACUUUGUAUCAAUUCCGCAAGUGGAUCUCACAAGCGAUGCCAUUUCUCCUAUGGAUUCCUCUACUAAUGAUUUGAACUAUAUCUCCUCUACCAAUGUUGAUGAUGGUAUGUCCUCAUCUGAUCUACAAGGGCAAGGGGCAUCAAGAAGAGAUGAACCUGAAGCUACAACAUCUACCAACUCUGAACAAAAGGGAGCACUGCCUGUGAAAAAGAGGAAGCAAAGUCAGAUCGCUGUUGUACUUGAGGAUUACAUGGAUUUUCGGAAGAAACAGUCUGCAAAACUGGUUGACGAGUUGAAGGAAUCAAAGCAAGAUGACAUUUUCUCGAUUGGAAACUGUGUGGCUGCGCUAGAACCAAUGGAAGAUUUAUCAGUUGCAGAAAAAGCAAAGGCACUGCGGCUUUUCAAAUGCCCAAUGAAUCGAGAAAUAUUCAUCAAUACCAAGGACUCAAAUCUUCGACUUUAUUGGUUGAAGGAGGAGAUUUCUGAGAUGUAGAUAGCAUAAGGUUUACUAAAGCUAUCCGAUAAAAAUGUUCAAAGAAGUUGAUGGUGGAAGUUUUAGUAGAGUAACUAUUUCAACAACAAACAUUUUGCUAUGGAUCAGUCACACAUGGGCAUUUUUUAUGGAACAAAAUGCUUAUCAUUGCUGGAUUUCUAGCCGUAGUUUGUAUUUUUGUUGUUAAAACCAUGAUUAGCACACCUCUGUAGUGCUAUGUUAUUUGUGUGAAUCGAUAUGUAUAACUUGUGGUUAGCGUCUGUCAGUGGGUUGAAGUGUUAUUUUGCUGAUUACCUGUGUGUUUCAUGUUUUUUCCUUAAAAUUCGUGAAUUAUUAUCUAGUACUUUGUGUCAUUCCUGAAAUUUUUUUCAAGGAAAUAUACAUAAAUUUUGAUUACUUCUGAAUUGGUAUGAUGUUUCUGUAAAGAAACCGAGUCAUUUUCAUGAUUCCUGAAUAUUACAAUUUUGUUUAACCUUUUUCUGGACGUGAUCUCCACCCCUCCCCCUAUUAACCAAACUGGCAUGGUAAUCUCCCCGUGGUGUGGGAGAGGGCAUGGAAAUCCCCCCGAGGGGGAUUAGAGCC
RNAcentral lists this ribosomal RNA (3779 nucleotides) under Triticum aestivum (bread wheat). RNAcentral describes it as "partial small subunit ribosomal RNA". Lineage: Eukaryota; Viridiplantae; Streptophyta; Magnoliopsida; Poales; Poaceae. The record is from RNAcentral.